RNAcentral lists this non-coding RNA (186 nucleotides) under Xanthomonas theicola. RNAcentral's name for it is "6S RNA". It matches the Rfam family "6S / SsrS RNA". From Rfam's summary of the family: E. coli 6S RNA was the first non coding RNA to be sequenced, but its function was unknown until recently. It consists of 184 nucleotides that fold into an extended hairpin structure with a large single-stranded internal bulge. The 6S RNA specifically associates with RNA polymerase holoenzyme containing the sigma70 specificity factor. The record is from RNAcentral. Lineage: Bacteria; Pseudomonadati; Pseudomonadota; Gammaproteobacteria; Lysobacterales; Lysobacteraceae.
CGUUCUCUGCCGUGAACGACAGCGUGUGCAAACAUUCGCCUUGUCCCUUUAAUGACGACCACGGGGUGGCGACGGAAUUGGGUGUGCAGGUCCGCCUCGUAGCGGGAAGCCCGAUGGUUCCCCAGCUAUCCCACUUGAACCCUGGGUUCAAGGUCGUUUCGCACGCAUCGUCAUGGCGGAGAAUGC